RNAcentral lists this ribosomal RNA (682 nucleotides) under Rossellomorea vietnamensis. RNAcentral describes it as "bacterial SSU rRNA". It matches the Rfam family "Bacterial small subunit ribosomal RNA", at positions 36 to 699 of the family's 1533-position model. Lineage: Bacteria; Bacillati; Bacillota; Bacilli; Caryophanales; Bacillaceae. The record is from RNAcentral.
CUGGCGGCGUGCCUAAUACAUGCAAGUCGAGCGGAUUGAUGGGAGCUUGCUCCCUGAUAUCAGCGGCGGACGGGUGAGUAACACGUGGGUAACCUGCCUGUAAGACUGGGAUAACUCCGGGAAACCGGGGCUAAUACCGGAUAACUCAUUUCCUCGCAUGAGGAAAUGUUGAAAGGUGGCUUCUGGCUACCACUUACAGAUGGACCCGCGGCGCAUUAGCUAGUUGGUGAGGUAACGGCUCACCAAGGCAACGAUGCGUAGCCGACCUGAGAGGGUGAUCGGCCACACUGGGACUGAGACACGGCCCAGACUCCUACGGGAGGCAGCAGUAGGGAAUCUUCCGCAAUGGACGAAAGUCUGACGGAGCAACGCCGCGUGAGUGAUGAAGGUUUUCGGAUCGUAAAGCUCUGUUGUUAGGGAAGAACAAGUGCCGUUCGAAUAGGGCGGCACCUUGACGGUACCUAACCAGAAAGCCACGGCUAACUACGUGCCAGCAGCCGCGGUAAUACGUAGGUGGCAAGCGUUGUCCGGAAUUAUUGGGCGUAAAGCGCGCGCAGGUGGUUCCUUAAGUCUGAUGUGAAAGCCCACGGCUCAACCGUGGAGGGUCAUUGGAAACUGGGGAACUUGAGUGCAAAAAAGGAAAGUGGAAUUCCAAGUGUAGCGGUGAAAUGCGUAGAUAUUU